RNAcentral lists this ribosomal RNA (425 nucleotides) under uncultured bacterium. Its description in RNAcentral is "bacterial SSU rRNA". It matches the Rfam family "Bacterial small subunit ribosomal RNA", at positions 355 to 796 of the family's 1533-position model. The record is from RNAcentral.
UAGGGAAUUUUCCACAAUGGGCGAAAGCCUGAUGGAGCAACGCCGCGUGCAGGACGAAGGCCUUCGGGUUGUAAACUGCUUUUAUCUGUGACGAAUAUGACGGUAGCAGAUGAAUAAGGAUCGGCUAACUCCGUGCCAGCAGCCGCGGUCAUACGGAGGAUCCAAGCGUUAUCCGGAAUUACUGGGCGUAAAGAGUUGCGUAGGUGGCAUGGUAAGUUGCUAGUGAAAGCCUGGGGCUCAACCCCUUACCCAUUAGCAAAACUGCCAAGCUAGAGGACGAAAGAGGUACCUGGAAUUCCUAGUGUAGGAGUGAAAUCCGUAGAUAUUAGGAGGAACACCGAUGGCGUAGGCAGGGUACUGGUUCGUUUCUGACACUAAGGCACGAAAGCAUGGGUAGCAAACGGGAUUAGAUACCCCUGUAGUCC